RNAcentral lists this ribosomal RNA (601 nucleotides) under uncultured bacterium. RNAcentral's name for it is "bacterial SSU rRNA". It matches the Rfam family "Bacterial small subunit ribosomal RNA", at positions 202 to 803 of the family's 1533-position model. The record is from RNAcentral.
UAAAGACUCAUCGCUGAUAGAUAGGCAUGCGUUCCAUUAGGCAGUUGGCGGGGUAACGGCCCACCAAACCGACGAUGGAUAGGGGUUCUGAGAGGAAGGUCCCCCACAUUGGUACUGAGACACGGACCAAACUCCUACGGGAGGCAGCAGUGAGGAAUAUUGGUCAAUGGGCGUAAGCCUGAACCAGCCAAGUCGCGUGAGGGAUGAAGGUUCUAUGGAUCGUAAACCUCUUUUAUAAGGGAAUAAAGUGCGGGACGUGUCCCGUUUUGUAUGUACCUUAUGAAUAAGGAUCGGCUAACUCCGUGCCAGCAGCCGCGGUAAUACGGAGGAUCCGAGCGUUAUCCGGAUUUAUUGGGUUUAAAGGGUGCGUAGGCGGCCUUUUAAGUCAGCGGUGAAAGUCUGUGGCUCAACCAUAGAAUUGCCGUUGAAACUGGGAGGCUUGAGUAUGUUUGAGGCAGGCGGAAUGCGUGGUGUAGCGGUGAAAUGCUUAGAUAUCACGCAGAACCCCGAUUGCGAAGGCAGCCUGCCAAGCCAUGACUGACGCUGAUGCACGAAAGCGUGGGGAUCAAACAGGAUUAGAUACCCUGGUAGUCCACGCAGU